RNAcentral lists this long non-coding RNA (350 nucleotides) under Nicotiana benthamiana. RNAcentral describes it as "long non-coding RNA (NBEN_LNC024007)". Lineage: Eukaryota; Viridiplantae; Streptophyta; Magnoliopsida; Solanales; Solanaceae. The record is from RNAcentral.
CUUGUCAUUACGGUGAUGAUGCUGGUGAAGAUGCUAAGUCAAAGUGGAGUACCAUGUCUAGUAGUGUGUUCAACAAGAUAAUGUUGUUUGUUCUAAAAGAAAUGGACGGAAUUCUUCGUAACCUGUUGAAACUACCAACUUCUGGUGGGUAGUGUGUUCAACAAGAUAAUGUUAUUUGUUAUAAAAGAAAUGGACGGAAUUCUUCGUAACCUGUUGAAACUACCAACUUCUGGUGGGCAGAAGCAGAUGAUAAAAGAUAUAUCCAAUACUAAACGGUGGAAGAGCAACAACCACUUGGUGAAAUCAUAUCUCGGAAAUGCUCUACAUGUUCUAAACCAGAUGACUGAUAC